GUGCCAGCCGCCGCGGUAAUACCGGCAGCCCGAGUGAUGGCCGAUCUUAUUGGGCCUAAAGCGUCCGUAGCUGGCUGCGCAAGUCCGUCGGGAAAUCCACUCGCCCAACGAGUGGGCGUCCGACGGAAACUGCACAGCUUGGGACCGGAAGACCCGACGGGUACGUCCAGGGUAGGAGUGAAAUCCUGUAAUCCUGGACGGACCGCCGAUGGCGAAAGCACGUCGGGAAGACGGAUCCGACGGUGAGGGACGAAAGCCAGGGUCUCCAACCGGAUUAGAAACCCGAGUAGUCC
RNAcentral lists this ribosomal RNA (293 nucleotides) under uncultured bacterium. RNAcentral's name for it is "partial 16S ribosomal RNA". It matches the Rfam family "Archaeal small subunit ribosomal RNA", at positions 455 to 747 of the family's 1478-position model. The record is from RNAcentral.